CGGGGGGCAAGUAGAGUGGCGCACGGGUGAGUAACACGUAGGUAAUCUACCUUUGGAUUGGGAAUAACAACCGGAAACGGUUGCUAAUACCGAAUAAUGCAGCGGCACCUAGUGGUGACAGUUGUUAAAGCGGGGGAUCGCAAGACCUCGCGUCUGAAGAGGAGCCUGCGGCAGAUUAGCUAGUUGGUAAGGUAACGGCUUACCAAGGCUAUGAUCUGUAGCCGGCCUGAGAGGGCGGUCGGCCACACUGACACUGACAUACGGGUCAGACUCCUACGGGAGGCAGCAGUCGGGAAUUUUGGGCAAUGGGCGCAAGCCUGACCCAGCAACGCCGCGUGAAGGAUGAAAUCCUUCGGGAUGUAAACUUCGCAAGAACGGGAAGAAUAAGUAAGAGUUAAUAUCUCUUACGAUGACGGUACUGUUUGUAAGCUCCGGCUAACUCCGUGCUAGCCGCCGCGGUAAUUC
This 465-nucleotide ribosomal RNA is filed under the name uncultured bacterium. RNAcentral describes it as "bacterial SSU rRNA". It matches the Rfam family "Bacterial small subunit ribosomal RNA", at positions 80 to 526 of the family's 1533-position model. The record is from RNAcentral.